UUUUAAUUGAAGGCUUGUAUGAACGGUCGGACAAAGGAUAAGCUGUCUCUGUUUUUGUUUUUGAACUUGUCUUUCAAGUGAAAAGACUUGAAUAAAUUUAAGGGACGAUAAGACCCUAUAAAUCUUUAUAUUAAUUUAUAUUUAUUUUAAUUUUUAAUGUAAACGUAAAAUAAAUUUAUUUAAUAUUAUAUUGGGGUGAUAAGAAUAAUAAAUAAACUGUUCUAAAUAAAACAAAGUUGUUUGGUUAAAUAAUAGAUCCUUUCUAGAGAUUAAGAGUUUAAGUUACUUUAGGGAUAACAGCGUUAUUUUUUUUGAGAGUUCUAAUCGAAAAAAAAGUUUGCGACCUCGAUGUUGAAUUAAAAUUUCUUCAUAGUGCAGGAGCUAUGAUAGAGAGUCUGUUCGACUUUUAAAAUUUUACGUGAUCU
RNAcentral lists this ribosomal RNA (425 nucleotides) under Galathea eione. RNAcentral describes it as "partial 16S ribosomal RNA". The stretch from base 293 to 425 matches the Rfam family "Bacterial large subunit ribosomal RNA", at positions 2473 to 2606 of the family's 2925-position model. The record is from RNAcentral. Lineage: Eukaryota; Metazoa; Arthropoda; Malacostraca; Decapoda; Galatheidae. RNAcentral also lists the same sequence under 1 other name.